AGAAACUGCGCACGAACAUCACUGACAGGUAGUUAGCUUACCGUACAAGGUCAACGUAACGCUCUUCUUCAGAUCGGACGAUAACUUACUCUUGCUUGUUGAAAAAGCGAUGGCUUUGGUCGCGGGACAGAGAUCUACACUGAAUCCGAAUGCUCCGGUCUUCAUUCCUUCCGUGUACCGUCAAGUGGAGGAUUUUUCACCGGAGUGGUGGGAGCUGGUGAAAACUUC
RNAcentral lists this unclassified non-coding RNA (228 nucleotides) under Hevea brasiliensis (rubber tree). Lineage: Eukaryota; Viridiplantae; Streptophyta; Magnoliopsida; Malpighiales; Euphorbiaceae. The record is from RNAcentral.